Molecule: ribosomal RNA, 253 nt
Filed under: uncultured bacterium
Lineage: Bacteria
Description: partial 16S ribosomal RNA
Rfam family: Bacterial small subunit ribosomal RNA
Source: RNAcentral
GACAGAGGGUGCAAACGUUGUUCGGAAUUACUGGGCGUAAAGCGCGUGUAGGCGGCUGUGCAAGUCGGAUGUGAAAUCCCGUGGCUCAACCACGGAAGUGCACCCGAAACUGCGCAGCUGGAGUCUCGGAGAGGAAGGUGGAAUGCUUGGUGUAGAGGUGAAAUUCGUAGAUAUCAAGCGGAACACCGGUGGCGAAGGCGGCCUUCUGGACGAUGACUGACGCUGAGGUGCGAAAGCGUGGGGAGCAAACAGG